AGACAAUAUGACCAGUCAGAGACAGGGCAGAGACAAUAUGACCAGUCAGAGACAAUAUGACCAGUCAGAGACAAUAUGACCAGGCAGAGACAAUAUGACCAGUCAGAGACAGGGCAGAGACAAUAUGACCAGUCAGAGACAAUAUGACCAGUCAGAGACAGGGCAGAGACAAUAUGACCAGUCAGAGACAGGGCA
Long non-coding RNA from Oncorhynchus tshawytscha (Chinook salmon), 195 nucleotides. RefSeq lists it as uncharacterized. Lineage: Eukaryota; Metazoa; Chordata; Actinopteri; Salmoniformes; Salmonidae. The record is from RefSeq and is a predicted model, not a curated record. The transcript has 2 exons.